Long non-coding RNA from Pezoporus flaviventris, 2298 nucleotides. RefSeq lists it as uncharacterized. NCBI's taxonomy places the organism in Eukaryota, Metazoa, Chordata, Aves, Psittaciformes, Psittacidae. The record is from RefSeq and is a predicted model, not a curated record. The transcript has 2 exons.
AGGGUCCCACAGGACCCCCUCAAGUGUCCCACACCCUCUACCCAUUCCCCACCUGCUCCAAACACAAACUUUCUGCUCUCCUGAGUCUUGUGUGCAAUGCCUGCCUCUUGUGCUGCUUUGCAGGGUCUUCUCCUGGGCCAGAACCUCUGUUGGGACUUUCAAAGGCUCAGCAAAGCCCUAGGCUGUGUAACACCCAGGGUUUAUGCCAUGUGCAUGCCUGCCAUGAGCUUUUGAAACGUCUUUGCUACAUAGGAUGAAUCUCUGUUGCUCUCUCUACUUCUGUAGGCAGACACUUGAGCUAUGCCAGCAGAUUAGUCACUGUAAGUAAUGCCUUCCUGUCUAUAUAACACUUAUCUUCCCUGACAUAGCUCAUUGUAUUUUUCCUGAAUUGAAUUUGUAAACCUUCUGGGGCGGUUUGCACACAAACACAAGGUAUUGCUGCAUCUCACUUUGAAUUGAGCCAAGUCUGCUGCUGAGAUGCAUAUUAAUAAUUAGUGUAAAUCUGCAGUGAGCCUUCUGUGGGUAAUGAUGUCUAUGGUGUUUGUGCAAACCUUGAAAAUUCUCUGCACAUGUUCUAGUUACCCACUGUUGGACAUGAUGCAAACCCCAUAGCUCUUCCUCAUUUAUUUUUAGUGCCUUCAGAGAAAGCAAAUUGUAAAUUUCUUUUGGGAAGACUAAUACUGCAAAUCGCCCAUGAGAUAGGCAGUUGACCUUCAAACAGGUUAUUGCAUAUGCCCUGCAUGAGGUCUUUCCAGCUGAAGUGGUAAAAGGUAGAGUCCUCAGAUCCUGCUGGUAGGGACCUGUCUUUGUCAUCUGCUUGAUGCUGCAGAGGGUGAACUGCUCCUCAUGUUCUCUGCCUCUGCUGAAGUGGUGGAUUAAGGGCAUCUGCCAUUAUCUAGACCCUCCAGUCCAUAAAAGAUGGAAAAUAAAAAGCAAACCCAACCUCUUCUGGUAAUUCAAUUUAGGAUUAAGGUUUUGAUGAAAAGAUAAUGCAGUAAACAUGAACAUUUUAAAAAUUAAUCCUGUGAUAAGUAUACACUUUUUGUCAAAACAAUAUUUGUUAUAGUUUAAUCCAUCAGCAAAGUAAAGUUUGACUGCCAGUUACCAUGUUUCAUCAUAUCAGUCUUGGCUUCUCUGUAAGUGUCACGGUGUGAGUACAGCACCCUGGGAAGGUAAAUACUGAUGUGAUUGCCAUGGAAGACUUCAGUUCUUCAACAACACAUGCUUUGGGUUUUGCCCUGUGGCAGACUUUGGGGUGGUGGAAAUACAUGAGUAUGUAUUAACUGAAAACCAAGGAACACUAACACGCACUUACGAUGUGUCAUGCUGUGGAGUAUUACCCCUCCAGUACUGGUUCCAUCUUCCAUUAGUAUAAAUAUUUCUUGAGCCAACUUUAAAUCCAAGCAAGCUACAUCAUUAAUCUGCACUUCAUCCAGCUACUGCAGUAGGAGUCUGGAUCUGCAAACUUUUGGUUUGUAGAGAAAGAAAAACAACUUGAUGCCUGCUGAGAUGUCUUAGUGUAUUUUCAUAUAAAUGUAAAAAGGCAUCUUGGUACUAAUUCAAGAUAUCUGCUUAAUCUGAAUAUUAGUUUGAGAAGGGAUGUCUGAAAAGAGUCAAAUCAGGUUUCCCAUUCUUUUUCCCUUCAUGCUGGUACAGGCUGUUUAUUAUGGAUGCUGCACUGCAUUUGUGUUUUGAACCAAUUAAGCUGCCCCCUUCUCCAACUGAAGCUUGUACAAAUGUUGCUGUGCAUGACCACCAAAUGUCACUGCCGCUUAGCACACUCAACACAGUUAGCUGAUUUAUGUUUUAUUAUAGUAUUAAAUUGAUUAUUUAUACAUUAUUAUAGCAAGAUCAAUUUAAUGCUGUAAUAAACUUGGUAUUGAGCAUAGUUUAAGACAUGUCAAAGUAUAAAAAUAUGCAUAUGGCUGGACAUUUCUGAAUUGCAGGAAUGUGAAUUGGACAGCGAGUAAAAACUGAAAGCUGUUUGCGACAUUUAAUGACCAUAUUAACAUCCAUAAUAGUAAAUGACCAGGUAAUUAAGGUGGAAAAAAAAUCUCAGCAAAAAUGGUGUAGGCAAUUACUAUAAUGUCAUGAAAGUAAAAGAACUCAUCCAACUUGAGAAGGGGGGAUCUCAGGUUGUCCAAGUAAAUCGAUUAUUCAUAUUCUUAAUGUCUCAUUUAAGUAUCUUUAGCUGUACUGUGUAGCAUAUGAACUGGUAUGCAAGACCAUUUUAAGAGAUGCGGAGAAUUAUAAACUCCACUGAGUAAUGCAGAAAUAUAUCUAGAGGUGAUACAUGUA